AAAUAGUAAACUAUUUCUUUUAAUUCUAAAUUUCUAACCCUACAAUCGGUCUCAUCUUCAGACUGACGCCGCCGCCCACUGUCCUUUCUCAAUCUCAGUAAGUUCUCUCCACGGCGCCGCCCCACCCGCUUGCCGCCAGUCGCCUUCCGCUCACCCGCUUCCUCUCGUCUCCCUCUCAUCUCGUGCCUCUCACCGUGAGUCCCCUCAUUUCUCAAUCUCAGUAUUUGAAACUCAGUUUUCAUAAGAGGAAGAAGAAGAGGAGAAAAGAGGCUUAGCAGGUUGCAGUAGCAAGAAGAAGCUAGACGACGCGAACGCAUUAAGCUGCACGAAAAGGGCAUGGAUCAAGAAGCAGCAAGAAGUGCGCGGGAUUCUCUGGACUUAGCGUUUCACAUGUCUAACAUUCUCGAAACUGGUUUGGAUCGCCACACUCUUUCGAUUCUGAUCGCUCUUUGUGAAAUGGGUAUCAACCCAGAAUCUUUGGCCGCCGUAGUUAAGGAGCUUCGUAGAGAAUUGUCGCCUCCUUCUUCCGCCGAGACAGCAACAUAACCAGGGUGGCCUCUCGGUGUGUAUGAAGAGAGAUAGAUGACUUGGAAGCAAAGGUACUCUGCUGCAUUUUACUUUGCAAUGGUAUUAAGUUUUCUGUGUAAUAGUAGUAAAGAACGAAAAAACAAGGCAAAUUUUUUUGCUACAGCCGUCGUGUACUAUUAUUUUGGAUUACAAAUUUAACAUGUAAUCAAUGAUAUGAUAUAAUAGUAUAGAUGGUUGGCAACUAAAUAGGCUUCAGAUAAUGUAUUCUAAAAAUAUUCUAAUACUACUAUAUAAAAAUUUAAUGCGAUUUCUUAAAGAUGA
Salvia miltiorrhiza (redroot sage) is the source of this 849-nucleotide long non-coding RNA. RefSeq lists it as uncharacterized. The transcript has 3 exons. Lineage: Eukaryota; Viridiplantae; Streptophyta; Magnoliopsida; Lamiales; Lamiaceae. The record is from RefSeq and is a predicted model, not a curated record.